Molecule: long non-coding RNA, 900 nt
Filed under: Pongo abelii (Sumatran orangutan)
Lineage: Eukaryota; Metazoa; Chordata; Mammalia; Primates; Hominidae
Description: lncRNA (ENSPPYG00000033001.1)
Source: RNAcentral
UGGAGGAUUAGUUGUUUGGAGUGUGGUUACGGAGUUUCUCAACCCACACUUUUUCAACGUUGGUAACCAUUAAGAAAAGACAUAGAAUACUCAAUUCUGUUCACUCAAAUUUGGUAGAUUCCGGGAGUGAGUUUCUUACCCCAACAUUAGUGUUACAAUGCACACCAGUUUAACUGUAGUUAGCUACUUUCAUUCAGGGCUCUUGUUAGCAUCUUAUAGUAAAGGCGUGGAUGAGGAGGGGGGAAAAUAAAGCUUUGACAGAUGGUACUCAGCGUUUGACUCCUGCUGAGCUCAGCAGGACCUGUGGUUUCCAAGGUUAGGGCUGUCAAAAUGGCUCUGUCUAUCAAGUGAAUAACAAAGUGUAGACUGCCUGUCUGUUUCCUAUACAAAACUUAGAUUUCAUUUGCCAUUAUUGUCGGCCUUUCUGCUGAUUUAAUAACUUCUAAGGAGAAGAACUAGGGGUUCUGAUGCAGCCUCACUAUUUAAGAAACUACUUGGAAAGGGAAUUCUCAAGGGCUGAAAGAGGUAGGCCGCGAUCUGAUCUCUUUCUCUUUGGUUUCUCUCUAAGGCUUCAAGACUUAAAAAGGAUUCAAAAGACACCAAAGGUUCACUUUUGGCUAAAAGCUAAAUGUGAACCUUUCAAAAUGAACUCAUUGCUGUCUUCCUCUCAAAAGGCCUUCAGAUGGUCAGAUAAAGUACCUGAUGCUGAAAAACAGGAAAUUGAAUCAUGUCUCCAAAAUGUGCUUUUUGUCAUGCACUGUUACAGCUAUAUUUCUUGUAACUACAUUCAGCCUCCAGCCAAGAUAAAGAAUUAUGUGAUACAUACUUCAUCUUCCAUCUCUGCUUUCAAAAGAUGUGAAUUCUGCAAACCAGACAGAAGAGGGAGCUAUCCAUCUGGAA